RNAcentral lists this ribosomal RNA (844 nucleotides) under 'Solanum phureja' aster yellows phytoplasma. RNAcentral's name for it is "bacterial SSU rRNA". It matches the Rfam family "Bacterial small subunit ribosomal RNA", at positions 383 to 1236 of the family's 1533-position model. The record is from RNAcentral. Lineage: Bacteria; Bacillati; Mycoplasmatota; Mollicutes; Acholeplasmatales; Acholeplasmataceae.
CUGACCGAGCAACGCCGCGUGAACGAUGAAGUAUUUCGGUACGUAAAGUUCUUUUAUUAGGGAAGAAUAAAUGAUGGAAAAAUCAUUCUGACGGUACCUAAUGAAUAAGCCCCGGCUAACUAUGUGCCAGCAGCCGCGGUAAUACAUAGGGGGCAAGCGUUAUCCGGAAUUAUUGGGCGUAAAGGGUGCGUAGGCGGUUAAAUAAGUUUAUGGUCUAAGUGCAAUGCUCAACAUUGUGAUGCUAUAAAAACUGUUUAGCUAGAGUAAGAUAGAGGCAAGUGGAAUUCCAUGUGUAGUGGUAAAAUGCGUAAAUAUAUGGAGGAACACCAGUAGCGAAGGCGGCUUGCUGGGUCUUUACUGACGCUGAGGCACGAAAGCGUGGGGAGCAAACAGGAUUAGAUACCCUGGUAGUCCACGCCGUAAACGAUGAGUACUAAACGUUGGGUAAAACCAGUGUUGAAGUUAACACAUUAAGUACUCCGCCUGAGUAGUACGUACGCAAGUAUGAAACUUAAAGGAAUUGACGGGACUCCGCACAAGCGGUGGAUCAUGUUGUUUAAUUCGAAGGUACCCGAAAAACCUCACCAGGUCUUGACAUGCUUCUGCAAAGCUGUAGAAACACAGUGGAGGUUAUCAGUUGCACAGGUGGUGCAUGGUUGUCGUCAGCUCGUGUCGUGAGAUGUUGGGUUAAGUCCCGCAACGAGCGCAACCCUUAUUGUUAGUUACCAGCACGUAAUGGUGGGGACUUUAGCAAGACUGCCAGUGAUGAAUUGGAGGAAGGUGGGGACGACGUCAAAUCAUCAUGCCCCUUAUGACCUGGGCUACAAACGUGAUACAAUGGCUG